UCUUCACAGAAAUAAAUAUCUUCACUAACAGCUUCACUUCCUGUUAACUGGGGGGUUUUGAUUUCAGUUCCUCCAGUAAGUCCAUAAAGACCCUAGAGAUGAUCUGAGAGUAACUCAACAUUGAUUCAAAGAAGCUCAGCUCACCAACAUCAAGACCAUCUGUGACAGGUGUUUAAAAACAACUUUACAGACUCUUUUGACUCUUGAGAGGGUGUGUGGUGACGGAAUCAGAAGGCAAAUAAACGCGAGACAUCAUGGACCUCUUCAACAUCGUUGGUUCCGUGGUAAUGGGUGUGGGCGAGUGCGCGGUGGGCGUGGCCAGAGCCGUGGUGGAUGUCCCUCUGGGAAUCGUGAAGGGAGCCGCUUACAGCACCUUUGAGGCCGGCGGUAAAAUCGUCAGUGUCGGCUCUCCAGCUGAAGCUGUUGGGGCUGCUGUUGGUCUGCUGGUGUCUCCAGUGACUGGUGCUGUGACCGGAGGAACUAAAGAGAUUGUCAAGGCGCCAGAAAAAGUUGUGCAUGGUGUUGUUAAUGGUGUUAAGAGAGUUUUUGACGAUUAAGACGUAUGCAAGUUGGAAGGGUUCAUAUUGAUCCUGCUCAAACAGCGCCGCCUGCUGCCAAUGAGAAUAAAUACAGCCUGCAUAUUUUACAAAAACAUCUGAGAACUGGACAAAAACGUGAAUUAGGAAAAAGAAAAUGUUCCAUAGACGCUCAGUUAAAGAUGGUUUUGACAAUGUCUCUACAAAUUUCUUAAUACUGUAAUAUCAUAAGUCAUCACUAAUCCUUUCAUAAUUAUUUCAAUUACACUAACUAAAAUUCACUCACAUUUUGUCUCUUCGUCCUGUUUUCAGUGUUUGAAUACUUGACAAACAUCAUAUCAAAUAAAUCUUUGAUUUUUCUUCAGAAAACAGAUACUGCAAGCUUAUAUGUCAAGACUCGUUACAGCUGAGAUACUUUCAGAUACUCAUCAUGGUCACUUCAGGGAAAGAUUUGCUUUGUGAAUUGUCCAUACAAACAUAUUUAUAGCAUUUCUAUCAGACAUUAUUCUUAUGUUAGAUUAUAUUGCAUGUCAUUGUUAUUGAUCAAGUGAAACUUGUAAUCUAAUCAUCAAGUGCAGAAUUUAAGAUGCAUUUAAAUAAAGAUUUUAACCUGAA
Long non-coding RNA from Ctenopharyngodon idella (grass carp), 1151 nucleotides. RefSeq lists it as uncharacterized. The record is from RefSeq and is a predicted model, not a curated record. Lineage: Eukaryota; Metazoa; Chordata; Actinopteri; Cypriniformes; Xenocyprididae. The transcript has 3 exons.